CGCCUCUUGAUCAACAAAUAUAAGAGGUCCCGCCUGCCCAGUGAUCAAUUUUAACGGCCGCGGUAUCAUGACCGUGCAAAGGUAGCGUAAUCACUUGUCUUUUAAAUAAAGACCUGUAUGAAAGGCAAAACGAAAACUUAACUGUCUCUUUAAUCCAAUCAGUAAAAUUAGUCUCCCCGUGCAGAAACGAGGAUAAUAGUAUAAGACGAGAAGACCCUAUGGAGCUUUAAACAUAAGAUUAAUUAUAUUCCCACCAUAACCUACAGGCAAACAAUAUAGACGUAUAAUAAUAAUCUAAGUUUUUGGUUGGGGCGACCACGGAAGAAAAAAUAUCCUCCGAGAUAACAAUUUAGAAUUACACUUCAAAACCUAGAACAUUUAUUAUAAAUGACCCACUAAGUGAUCAACGAACCAAGUUACCCUAGGGAUAACAGCGCAAUCCUUUCUAAGAGUUCCUAUCGACGAAUGGGUUUACGACCUCGAUGUUGGAUCAGGGCACCCCAAUGGUGCAGUCGCUAUUAAAGGUUCGUUUGUUCAACGAUUAAAGUCCU
Molecule: ribosomal RNA, 551 nt
Filed under: Euproctus montanus
Lineage: Eukaryota; Metazoa; Chordata; Amphibia; Caudata; Salamandridae
Description: partial 16S ribosomal RNA
Rfam family: Bacterial large subunit ribosomal RNA
Source: RNAcentral